RNAcentral lists this ribosomal RNA (301 nucleotides) under uncultured bacterium. RNAcentral describes it as "partial 16S ribosomal RNA". It matches the Rfam family "Bacterial small subunit ribosomal RNA", at positions 509 to 808 of the family's 1533-position model. The record is from RNAcentral.
CAGUCGCCGCGGUAAUACGUAGGUCCCGAGCGUUGUCCGGAUUUAUUGGGCGUAAAGGGAGCGCAGGCGGUUUAGUAAGUCUGAAGUUAAAGGCAUUGGCUCAACCAAUGUAUGCUUUGGAAACUGUUAGACUUGAGUGCAGAAGGGGAGAGUGGAAUUCCAUGUGUAGCGGUGAAAUGCGUAGAUAUAUGGAGGAACACCGGUGGCGAAGGCGGCUCUCUGGUCUGUCACUGACGCUGAGGCUCGAAAGCGUGGGUAGCGAACAGGAUUAGAUACCCCUGUAGUCCCUGUCUCUUAUACC